AGUGAACGCUGGCGGUAGGCCUAACACAUGCAAGUCGAACAGCAGCACAGUAAGAGCUUGCUCUUACGGGUGGCGAGUGGCGGACGGGUGAGGAAUACAUCGGAAUCUACUUUUUCGUGGGGGAUAACGUAGGGAAACUUACGCUAAUACCGCAUACGACCUACGGGUGAAAGCAGGGGAUCUUCGGACCUUGCGCGAUUGAAUGAGCCGAUGUCGGAUUAGCUAGUUGGCGGGGUAAAGGCCCACCAAGGCGACGAUCCGUAGCUGGUCUGAGAGGAUGAUCAGCCACACUGGAACUGAGACACGGUCCAGACUCCUACGGGAGGCAGCAGUGUGGAAUAUUGGACAAUGGGCGCAAGCCUGAUCCAGCCAUACCGCGUGGGUGAAGAAGGCCUUCGGGUUGUAAAGCCCUUUUGUUGGGAAAGAAAAGCAGCAGGUUAAUACCCCGCUGUUCUGACGGUACCCAAAGAAUAAGCACCGGCUAACUUCGUG
RNAcentral lists this ribosomal RNA (492 nucleotides) under uncultured bacterium. RNAcentral describes it as "partial 16S ribosomal RNA". It matches the Rfam family "Bacterial small subunit ribosomal RNA", at positions 29 to 507 of the family's 1533-position model. The record is from RNAcentral.